UACAGGGGGUGCAAGCGUUGCUCGGAAUCAUUGGGCGUAAAGGGUGCGUAGGCGGCGCGGUAAGUCGGGUGUGAAAUCUCGGAGCUUAACUCCGAAACUGCAUUCGAUACUGCCGUGCUUGAGGACUGGAGAGGAGACUGGAAUUUACGGUGUAGCGGUGAAAUGCGUAGAUAUCGUAAGGAAGACCAGUGGCGAAGGCGGGUCUCUGGACAGUUCCUGACGCUGAGGCACGAAGGUCAGGGGAGCAAACGGG
This 253-nucleotide ribosomal RNA is filed under the name uncultured bacterium. RNAcentral describes it as "partial 16S ribosomal RNA". It matches the Rfam family "Bacterial small subunit ribosomal RNA", at positions 524 to 776 of the family's 1533-position model. The record is from RNAcentral.